UGGGGUGUCGCCAAGCGGUAAGGCACAAGAUUUUGAUUCUUGCAUGCGUAGGUUCAAAUCCUGCCACCCCAGCCA
This 75-nucleotide transfer RNA is filed under the name Clostridia bacterium. RNAcentral's name for it is "tRNA-Gln". It matches the Rfam family "tRNA". Rfam says of the family: Transfer RNA (tRNA) molecules are approximately 80 nucleotides in length. Their secondary structure includes four short double-helical elements and three loops (D, anti-codon, and T loops). Further hydrogen bonds mediate the characteristic L-shaped molecular structure. tRNAs have two regions of fundamental functional importance: the anti-codon, which is responsible for specific mRNA codon recognition, and the 3' end, to which the tRNAs corresponding amino acid is attached (by aminoacyl-tRNA synthetases). tRNAs cope with the degeneracy of the genetic code in two manners: having more than one tRNA (with a specific anti-codon) for a particular amino acid; and 'wobble' base-pairing, i.e. permitting non-standard base-pairing at the 3rd anti-codon position. The record is from RNAcentral. Lineage: Bacteria; Bacillati; Bacillota; Clostridia.